UACUCUUUUCUUUUCUUUUUUUUUUUUCGAUUUUUCUUUUCGUCAACAACUUCUCAGUCAUAUUAUGGAAUGCAAUCGUCGUUCGAUGAAAAAUGAACAAUGAAUGGGCUGUUGCUGGUUAUUAACGAGGAUUACGCUCUUGAAACGUUGAUAAACGUUGAAACGUUUAACCGAAUCUGAAUAUUCCCCGAAAGUUUGAAAAGCCUGUCACGCAUUACGUCAGAACUUCCGAAGGUUAAGGCAUUUCUCUUAAAUUGAGUUGGAUAGUUUUCUAACCUAAAAACUUGGCCGGGUUGGAAAACCGCUUUCUAACGGAUUUAACUUCUCGAUCUAAUAUAAAGUUCAGCGUGGACUCGUAUAAAAAAAAAAAAAAAAAAAAAAAAAUAAAUAAAUAAAAA
Vespula pensylvanica (western yellowjacket) is the source of this 398-nucleotide long non-coding RNA. RefSeq lists it as uncharacterized. Lineage: Eukaryota; Metazoa; Arthropoda; Insecta; Hymenoptera; Vespidae. The record is from RefSeq and is a predicted model, not a curated record. The transcript is spliced from 2 exons.